Molecule: ribosomal RNA, 508 nt
Filed under: uncultured bacterium
Lineage: Bacteria
Description: partial 16S ribosomal RNA
Rfam family: Bacterial small subunit ribosomal RNA
Source: RNAcentral
AUUGAACGCUGGCGGCAUGCCUUACACAUGCAAGUCGAACGGCAGCGGGGGAGAAGCUUGCUUUUCCUGCCGGCGAGUGGCGAACGGGUGAGUAAUACAUCGGAACGUGCCCUGUAGUGGGGGAUAACUAGUCGAAAGAUUAGCUAAUACCGCAUACGACCUGAGGGUGAAAGUGGGGGACCGCAAGGCCUCAUGCUAUAGGAGCGGCCGAUGUCUGAUUAGCUAGUUGGUGGGGGAAAGGCCUACCAAGGCGACGAUCAGUAGCUGGGCUGAGAGGAUGGUCAGCCACACUGGGACUGAGACACGGCCCAGACUCCUACGGGAGGCAGCAGUGGGGAAUAUUGGACAAUGGGCGAAAGCCUGAUCCAGCAAUGCCGCGUGAGUGAUGAAGGCCUUCGGGUUGUAAAGCACUUUUGUCCGGAAAGAAAUGGCUCUGGUUAAUGCCUGGGGUCGAUGACGGUACCGGAAGAAUAAGGACCGGCUAACUACGUGCCAGCCGCCGCAGUAA